This 241-nucleotide ribosomal RNA is filed under the name uncultured bacterium. RNAcentral describes it as "partial 16S ribosomal RNA". It matches the Rfam family "Bacterial small subunit ribosomal RNA", at positions 14 to 244 of the family's 1533-position model. The record is from RNAcentral.
GGAUCCUGGCUCAGGAUGAACGCUAGCUACAGGCUUAACACAUGCAAGUCGAGGGGAAACGACAUCGAAAGCUUGCCUUUGAUGGGCGUCGACCGGCGCACGGGUGAGUAACGCGUAUCCAACCUGCCCACCACUUGGGGAUAACCUUGCGAAAGUAAGACUAAUACCCAAUGACAUCCCACGAAGACAUCUGAAUGGGAUUAAAGAUUUAUCGGUGAUGGAUGGGGAUGCGUCUGAUUAG